This 25-nucleotide non-coding RNA is filed under the name Cricetulus griseus (Chinese hamster). Lineage: Eukaryota; Metazoa; Chordata; Mammalia; Rodentia; Cricetidae. The record is from RNAcentral.
ACAGAGCUGUAGGGAGCCGUCCCUG